AGUUUAUAAAUAGUUGCAUUUAUAAAGAAAAAUCUAAUCAUCAUUAUAAAAUUGGAUUUCUUGAUGUCAUGACUCAAGAAAGAGUUACAUUAUACAUAACAAUAUUCUUUCCUUCAUUUCAUGAUGUUGAAGAAUAUAGCGGAUGAUGGGAGGAGGUAACGGGGGAUGUUAUUGUUCUAACUUCAAAGAAUGACACAAUAGAACUUUUGAACCUGACGUGCUCAAAAGAAUUUGUGACAGGUAGUGUCGGAAAAGAGGAAGAGGGAUGGUAUGAGAAGGAAAGAGCGAUGUUCAGGGUGUAGAAAUAUAGUCAAUGUAUAUAGACUGGUCGAGUGAGGGGUGGCCACCAGUGGCAACAUUGCAGUGGCCUUGAGAGACCCAUUUUCGCUUGGUCAACUAGUACGCUCGUGCCCUUCGAGCAGCCACACUCUGUGGCACGUCUUACACAAACCAUCAAAAAAAAACAGCCGCUGAUUGAAAAUGGUUCAUAUGGGUUUAAAGAAAAAGAAAGAAGAGGAGGAGACAAACAGAGUAGCAAAGGAGAGAGAAGAGAGAGAAGAAAUAGAAAGAAGGCAGGAGAUGAUAUCUGAAGGUGAAGACGUGACAUUUAAUCUACGGCUGCCAGAAGAAGAGGAGGAAGAAUAGAAAGAAGGAGAAGGUUUUUCAGAGAAGGAGCAGGUUGAAGUUGUGAUUCAGAUGACCCCUGUCACCUGUAAGUUUUUCAGGCCGAUAAAGAAUGGUCUAUGAAGGAAAAUAGCACUCCCAAAAAAAGAGGAAGUGAUAGAAGGACAGGAGGACUUUGAACUAAACCUGUGCCUUCCUGAGGAGGAAGAAGAAGAGGAGGAGGAGGAGAAAGGAUCGGAGAAGGCAGCGCAGACAUGGAGAUGCUGGAAGUGGAGGAGCAAAUGCCAGUGAAUGAAGGACCAGAAGAAGAUUUCGUGUGCCAUGAUCACUUUGAUAUGAUCCUUAAUCCCCGAACGAAUUUCGAGACAGGAAUUGGCAACAGAGCCAUUGUUGCCGCUCUCAUAGUGGGGCUUGGACAGGGGGCAACAGCUGCCCCCAUGGUUGGGAUUGGACAGGGGGCAACUACUGCCCCCAUGGUGCGGAUUGGACAGGGGGCAACUGCUGCCCCCAUGGUGCGGAUUGGACAGGGGGCAACUGCUGCCCCCAUGGUGCGGAUUGGACAGGGGGCAACUGCUGCCCCCAUGGUGCGGAUUGGACAGGGGGCAACUGCUGCCCCCAUGGUGCGGAUUGGACAGGGGGCAACUGCUGCCCCCAUGGUGCGGAUUGGACAGGGGGCAACUGCUGCCCCCAUGGUGGCGAUUGGACAGGGGGCAACUGCUGUCCCCAUGGUGGUGAUUGGACAGGGGGCAACUGCUGCCCCCAUGGUGGGGAUUGGACAGGGGGCGCAAUACACAAAUGUCAGUCUGUAAAAGGAGAACUGGAGAUUGAAAUAGCUUAGCUUUGGAGACUGAGGAUAGGAUGCUGGUGAUAGAAAUGACACAUACUCUCCCUACUCUCCACUGUUCCGUCCUUCAUCCAAUGAAAGAGACCAGUAGCCGCUUCGAAUCCCCGCAACACGCGCAGAAACCAGGUUCUCCUGUUUCAUCAACUUAAGGAUCCUAUAUUAACUGGAGAACUGGAGAUUGAGAUUCGGCGCUUCGCUAUGUUGACUGAGGUUAUAGAUGUGACACGUAGGCCCACACUGCGCCGUUCUAUCCUUCUUCAACCAAUGAGUCACCAGUAUCCCAGGCGCUUUGAAUCCCCGCAACCCACGCAGAAACCAGGUUCUUCUGUUUCAUCAACUUAAGGAUCCUAUAUUAACUGGUAUGAUCAGUAUUCAUUUUAUUCAUGAGAAUAGUUAGAAGUUGAGACUAUUCAUCA
This 1884-nucleotide unclassified non-coding RNA is filed under the name Nilaparvata lugens (brown planthopper). Its description in RNAcentral is "fMRFamide-like neuropeptides 13, transcript variant X2". Lineage: Eukaryota; Metazoa; Arthropoda; Insecta; Hemiptera; Delphacidae. The record is from RNAcentral.